RNAcentral lists this ribosomal RNA (380 nucleotides) under uncultured eukaryote. RNAcentral's name for it is "partial 18S ribosomal RNA". It matches the Rfam family "Eukaryotic small subunit ribosomal RNA", at positions 592 to 976 of the family's 1831-position model. The record is from RNAcentral.
CAAUAGCGUAUAUUAAAGUUGUUGCAGUUAAAACGCUCGUAGUCGGAUUUCGGGGCGGGCCUGCCGGUCUGCCGUUCGGUACGUACUGGCGGGCGCGUCCUUCCUUUCGGAGACCGCGCCUCCUCUUAACUGAGCGGGCGCGGGAGACGGAUCGUUUACUUUGAAAAAAUCAGAGUGUUUCAAGCAGGCAGCUCGCUCUUGCAUGGAUUAGCAUGGGAUAAUGAAAUAGGACUCUGGUGCUAUUUUGUUGGUUUCGAACACCGGAGUAAUGGUCAACAGGGACAGUCAGGGGCACUCGUAUUCCGCCGAGAGAGGUGAAAUUCUCAGACCAGCGGAAGACGAACCACUGCGAAAGCAUUUGCCAGGGAUGUUUUCACUGA